UACGAACACGAAUGAUUUUUUUUUUAUAGUGCUAGACCGGCUAUAAGUGUUGUAGUUUUGUUUACAAACACAAACAGAUCAGAUCAUUGCAUUACCUCUAUCUUUUCAUGACAUAAUAGGGCAGCCUUGUAUGGACACGAAACUUCAUUCAGAGAGAAAAAAAUGGCUAGUCAAGAGAGUUUCAGACGAGGGGACGCAUUUAUAUUUAUAGUUCCUCAUAAAAUUCAGCGGAAAAGACUUGAGGACAUGAAGAUUUCAAUGAAAAAGAAGAAUAUUCCUCUGGCUGAAUCUCUUGGACCAAAUGUAACACAUGUUGUUACAGAAUUCGAAAGUGUUGAACAAGUUGAAAAA
Long non-coding RNA from Aplysia californica (California sea hare), 351 nucleotides. RefSeq lists it as uncharacterized. The record is from RefSeq and is a predicted model, not a curated record. NCBI's taxonomy places the organism in Eukaryota, Metazoa, Mollusca, Gastropoda, Aplysiida, Aplysiidae. The transcript has 2 exons.